This is a long non-coding RNA of Gadus macrocephalus (Pacific cod), 246 nucleotides long. RefSeq lists it as uncharacterized. The record is from RefSeq and is a predicted model, not a curated record. The transcript has 2 exons. NCBI's taxonomy places the organism in Eukaryota, Metazoa, Chordata, Actinopteri, Gadiformes, Gadidae.
GAUCUGACAAAGAGCUUUGAAAUGUGCGUGUCAAACUGAAACUCAAAUCCAAAGUGCCUUCAUCUGCUGCAGGAGACUCUGUAGAGUCUGGUGCAGCAGUUGUUGUCGUUGGUGCAGCAGUUGUUGUCGUUGGUGCAGCAGUAGUCGUUGUUGGUGCUGCAGUUGAUGCUGUUUGUCCUGCAGUAGUUUGGGUUUGUAUUGUUAAGGCUGUUUGAAUAAGCUAUGUAAUUAUCAUGAGAAUUUGUU